GAUUGCUGUUUAGAACAUUGCGCAUACUCCAAGAUACUAGUAUACUGUUGCAUGUGCAGGCAAUGAAUUUUGGUUGACGUGGCCGGCAUGCAUCCCAAUGCUUUGCCUAGCUAAGCUGAGCAAGCGGUGACACUAACGUACCCAUGCAUCAUGGUUGCUGACCUUUGCUUCUACUGCCGACAUCCUCCUCGCAUCGAGGAGCCAUAUCAGCUGAUCAGUUUUUCUGGAACUCUCCGGGAGGCGGGACACAAAAUACCUCUGCUCUAGUUUUAUGAGUUCUUAUUUGACAGGUCUCCUCGUCACGCCAGAAGAUUAGUCAGAGCAUCUCUAAUAGAAUGAUUAGUUAGAGCAUCUCUAAUAGAAGGUCCGUAAAUAUUUUGAGUUUGUGUGAAAAUAUGCUCGGAACAGGCAAAAAAAAACAAAAAACCGGACUGUAAAAGUAUCGUGGGUUAUGUACACACCUUUUCGCCCGCGUGCUAUAUCAGGGGCUCUGACGUUGUACCUAAAACAAAAAAUUUCCUACGAGAAGUGCGGAAUAAACCCAAUAAUCAUAUUUACUAGAUGUAAGUAACGAGAGGGAUUAUGAGCAUCAUACUCUCAUAGACCACAAAACGUUACGAUCACGGGAUCGUUGUUGGCGUAGUAGAACUUUCUAUGAGAUCAAUCUUAGUGCAGAACCGACGGCACCUUCUUGGUAUCCACACGUUCAGCUUCACGUCGUCUCCUCCUUCUUGAUCCAGCAAGCGAGGGGAAGAGGUCAAUGAGAUUUCAGCAGCACGACGGCGUGGUGGUGACUAUGGUGGAGAGCUUUACGGGCAGGGCUUUGCUGCGCGUGAUAGAGGAGGAGGAGAGGGGCUUACGAGAGAAAGAUCCAGCUGAGGGUUUGGUGUAUCCUCUCCUCCUGCCCCUCACCUCUAUUUAUAUAGGGGGUGGUGGCCAGGGUUUGUCCCUCCUCCAAGAAGGAGCUAGGGCCGGCCAAGGG
Molecule: long non-coding RNA, 982 nt
Filed under: Brachypodium distachyon (stiff brome)
Lineage: Eukaryota; Viridiplantae; Streptophyta; Magnoliopsida; Poales; Poaceae
Description: long non-coding RNA (BDIS_LNC001620)
Source: RNAcentral